CCCCGCCCCCAGUGGCCGCCAUUGGACAGGUUGAAUUGAUCGACUCGUUCGAGUGACUCAGCAAGUCGCCAGUCGAAAAUUGGACGGCUAAGCAUUACUAGGUAUUUGUUUAGGAAUGUGAUAACCUCCUUGCAAAGCAAUGUGUUCAAUGGUCUGAGCAGUCUAGCAGCCCUACACCUUCACGACAACAAACUUUCGAGCCUGCCUGUAGGCAUUUUCAGGGACCUAACAAGCCUGCAAUAUCUGGGAUUGCAACAGAAUAGCUUUCGGUCCUUGCAAAGCAAUGCGUUCGCUGAUUUGAAAGACCUGAGAAACCUGCAGUUACAUGAGAAUCAGUUCAGCUCCUUGCAAGGCAAUGAGUUCGAUGGGUUGAGAAAUCUGACAUAUCUAUUGCUUGAAUACAACUCACUUUCCAGCCUGCCUGUAGGCAUUUUCAAAGACCUAACAAGUCUUCAAAAUCUGCGAAUCCGCAACAACAACCUCGUGUCAUUGCCUAUCGGG
This is a long non-coding RNA of Sycon ciliatum, 501 nucleotides long. RefSeq lists it as uncharacterized. NCBI's taxonomy places the organism in Eukaryota, Metazoa, Porifera, Calcarea, Leucosolenida, Sycettidae. The record is from RefSeq and is a predicted model, not a curated record. The transcript is spliced from 7 exons.